GACGAACGCUGGCGGCGUGCUUAACACAUGCAAGUCGAACGGAAAGGCCCUGCUUUUGUGGGGUGCUCGAGUGGCGAACGGGUGAGUAGCACGUGAGUAACCUGCCCUUGACUUUGGGAUAACUUCAGGAAACUGGGGCUAAUACCGGAUAGGAGCUCCUGGUGCAUGGUGGGGGUUGGAAAGUUUCGGCGGUUGGGGAUGGACUCGCGGCUUAUCAGCUUGUUGGUGGGGUAGUGGCUUACCAAGGCUUUGACGGGUAGCCGGCCUGAGAGGGUGACCGGCCACAUUGGGACUGAGAUACGGCCCAGACUCCUACGGGAGGCAGCAGUGGGGAAUAUUGCACAAUGGGCGGAAGCCUGAUGCAGCAACGCCGCGUGCGGGAUGACGGCCUUCGGGUUGUAAGCCGCUUUCGCCUGUGACGAAGCGUGAGUGACGGUAAUGGGUAAAGAAGCACCGGCUAACUACGUG
This 468-nucleotide ribosomal RNA is filed under the name uncultured bacterium. RNAcentral describes it as "partial 16S ribosomal RNA". It matches the Rfam family "Bacterial small subunit ribosomal RNA", at positions 28 to 507 of the family's 1533-position model. The record is from RNAcentral.